RNAcentral lists this ribosomal RNA (301 nucleotides) under uncultured bacterium. RNAcentral describes it as "partial 16S ribosomal RNA". It matches the Rfam family "Bacterial small subunit ribosomal RNA", at positions 509 to 809 of the family's 1533-position model. The record is from RNAcentral.
CAGUCGCCACGGUAAUACGUAGGUGGCGAGCGUUGUCCGGAAUCAUUGGGCGUAAAGGGAGCGCAGGCGGGCAUGUAAGUCUUUCUUAAAAGUUCGGGGCUCAACCCCGUGAUGGGAAAGAAACUACAUGUCUUGAGUACAGGAGAGGAAAGCGGAAUUCCCAGUGUAGCGGUGAAAUGCGUAGAUAUUGGGAGGAACACCAGUGGCGAAGGCGGCUUUCUGGACUGCAACUGACGCUGAGGCUCGAAAGCCAGGGGAGCGAACGGGAUUAGAUACCCCCGUAGUCCCUGUCUCUUAUACA